This 506-nucleotide ribosomal RNA is filed under the name uncultured bacterium. Its description in RNAcentral is "partial 16S ribosomal RNA". It matches the Rfam family "Bacterial small subunit ribosomal RNA", at positions 28 to 523 of the family's 1533-position model. The record is from RNAcentral.
GAUGAACGCUAGCUACAGGCUUAACACAUGCAAGUCGAGGGGUAACGAGAGGAAAGCUUGCUUUCCUUGUCGACGACCGGCGCACGGGUGAGUAACGCGUAUCCAACCUGCCCCCAACUAGGGAAUAACCUUGCGAAAGUAAGACUAAUACCCUAUAAUUUCCUCAGAUGUCAUCUGACGAGGAAUAAAGAUUUAUCGGUUGUGGAUGGGGAUGCGUCUGAUUAGCUUGUUGGCGGGGUAACGGCCCACCAAGGCAACGAUCAGUAGGGGUUCUGAGAGCAAGGUCCCCCACAUUGGACCUGAGACACGGUCCAAACUCCUACGCGAGGCAGCAGUGAGGAAGAUUGGUCAAUGGGCGGAAGCCUGAACCAGCCAAGUAGCGUGCAGGAUGACGGCCCUAUGGGUUGUAAACUUCUUUUAUAGUAGAAUAAAGUGACCCACGUGUGGAUUUUUGUAUGUAUACUAUGAAUAAGGAUCGGCUAACUCCGUGCCAGCCGCCGCCGUAA